CAAGGAAGUUGACGGGGAGCACCACAACGGGUGGAGCUUGCGGUUUAAUUGGAUUCAACGCCGGAAAUCUUACCGGGACCGACAGCAAUAUGAAGGCCAGGCUGAAGACUUUGCCGGAUUAGCUGAGAGGUGGUGCAUGGCCGUCGUCAGUUCGUACUGUGAAGCAUCCUGUUAAGUCAGGCAACGAGCGAGACCCACGCCCACAGUUGCCAGCGUACUCUCCGGAGUGACGGGUACACUGUGGGGACCGCCGCUGCUAAAGCGGAGGAAGGAAUGGGCAACGGUAGGUCAGUAUGCCCCGAAUAUCCCGGGCUACACGCGAGCUACAAUGGUUGGUACAAUGGGUAUCUACCCCGAAAGGGGACGGGAAUCUCCUAAAACCAAUCUUAGUUCGGAUUGAGGGCUGCAACUCGCCCUCAUGAAGCUGGAAUCCGUAGUAAUCGCGUUUCAACAGAACGCGGUGAAUACGUCCCUGCUCCUU
This 481-nucleotide ribosomal RNA is filed under the name uncultured Methanosaeta sp. RNAcentral's name for it is "bacterial SSU rRNA". It matches the Rfam family "Archaeal small subunit ribosomal RNA", at positions 859 to 1338 of the family's 1478-position model. The record is from RNAcentral. Lineage: Archaea; Methanobacteriati; Methanobacteriota; Methanomicrobia; Methanotrichales; Methanotrichaceae.